CAGGAUGAACGCUAGCGACAGGCCUAACACAUGCAAGUCGAGGGGCAGCACAAGGAGCAAUCUGAGGUGGCGACCGGCGCACGGGUGAGUAACACGUAUGCAACCUGCCUGUAAGCGGGGAAUAACCCGUUGAAAGACGGACUAAUACCGCAUAAUACUAAAUUACUGCAUGGUAAUUUAUUUAAACAUUUAUGGCUUACAGAUGGGCAUGCGCAUGAUUAGCUAGUUGGAGAGGUAACGGCUCCCCAAGGCAACGAUCAUUAGGGGUUCUGAGAGGAAGGUCCCCCACACUGGUACUGAGACACGGACCAGACUCCUACGGGAGGCAGCAGUGAGGAAUAUUGGUCAAUGGACGAGAGUCUGAACCAGCCAAGUCGCGUGCAGGAAGAAUGUCCUUAAUGGAUUGUAAACUGCUUUUGCAGGGGAAUAAAGUGCAUCACGUGUGAUGUUUUGUAUGUACUCUGCGAAUAAGGAUCGGCUAACUCCGUGCCAGCCGCUGC
RNAcentral lists this ribosomal RNA (500 nucleotides) under uncultured bacterium. RNAcentral describes it as "bacterial SSU rRNA". It matches the Rfam family "Bacterial small subunit ribosomal RNA", at positions 25 to 518 of the family's 1533-position model. The record is from RNAcentral.